This 1151-nucleotide ribosomal RNA is filed under the name uncultured bacterium. Its description in RNAcentral is "bacterial SSU rRNA". It matches the Rfam family "Bacterial small subunit ribosomal RNA", at positions 9 to 1134 of the family's 1533-position model. The record is from RNAcentral.
GAGUUUGAUCCUGGCUCAGACUUUACGCUGGCGGCAGGCCUAACACAUGCAAGUCGAACGGCAGCACAGUAAGAGCUUGCUCUUAUGGGUGGCGAGUGGCGGACGGGUGAGGAAUACAUCGGAAUCUACUCUUUCGUGGGGGAUAACGUAGGGAAACUUACGCUAAUACCGCAUACGACCUACGGGUGAAAGCGGAGGACCUUCGGGCUUCGCGCGAUUGAAUGAGCCGAUGUCGGAUUAGCUAGUUGGCGGGGUAAAGGCCCACCAAGGCGACGAUCCGUAGCUGGUCUGAGAGGAUGAUCAGCCACACUGGAACUGAGACACGGUCCAGACUCCUACGGGAGGCAGCAGUGGGGAAUAUUGGACAAUGGGCGCAAGCCUGAUCCAGCCAUGCCGCGUGGGUGAAGAAGGCCUUCGGGUUGUAAAGCCCUUUUGUUGGGAAAGAAAAGCAGUCGGUUAAUACCCGAUUGUUCUGACGGUACCCAAAGAAUAAGCACCGGCUAACUUCGUGCCAGCAGCCGCGGUAAUACGAAGGGUGCAAGCGUUACUCGGAAUUACUGGCCGUAAAGCGUGCGUAGGUGGUGGUUUAAGUCUGUUGCGAAAGCCCUGGGCUCAACCUGGGAAUUGCAGUGGAUACUGGGUCACUAGAGUGUGGUAGAGGGUAGCGGAAUUCCCGGUGUAGCAGUGAAAUGCGUAGAGAUCGGGAGGAACAUCCGUGGCGGAGGCGGCUACCUGGACCAACACUGACACUGAGGCACGAAAGCGUGGGGAGCAAACAGGAUUAGAUACCCUGGUAGUCCACGCCCUAAACGAUGCGAACUGGAUGUUGGGUGCAAUUUUGCCACGCAGUAUCGAAGCUAACGCGUUAAGUUCCGCCGCCUGGAGAGUACGGUCGCAAGACUGAAACUCAAAGGAAUUGACGGGGCUCUGCACAAGCGGGUGGAGUAUGUGGUUUCACUCGAUGCAACGCGAGGCAACCUAACCUGGUCUUGACAUCCACGCACUUUCCAGAGAUGGAUUGCGUGCCUUCAGGAACCGGUGAGUACUGUUGCUGCAUGCCUGAUCAUCAGCUCAUGUACCUGAGAUGUUUGGUUAGUCCCCGCAAUGGAGUCACAACCCUUGUACCUUUAGUUUGCCACGACCCUAAUUGG